Molecule: long non-coding RNA, 1351 nt
Filed under: Callithrix jacchus (white-tufted-ear marmoset)
Lineage: Eukaryota; Metazoa; Chordata; Mammalia; Primates; Cebidae
Description: lncRNA (ENSCJAG00000078213.1)
Source: RNAcentral
UACAUUAUAAAAAGAUAUAUAAUGACAUCAGAAAUAUAAAUUGUAGGAUGACAGAAAGGUAAAAGGCUAGCAUUUUUAUAUGUGACAGCAUUUACUUAUCAGCUUAACAUAGUCGUUCAUAGCUAUGAUUUUUUUAUGUAAGCCUCAGAGAAACCACAAUAUGAGAAGCUACAGCAGGCAUACAAACAUUAAAGAUUAAGGAAUUAAAGCACAGCGGUACAAAAAUAUCACAUCACAAAGGCAGACAAGAGAUGAAGAAAGAAGUAAAUGAGCUACAAAACAACCAACAUAAAUAACGAAGUAGCAGUAGUCUUUAUCAGUAAAAAACUGUAAAUGAAUUCAAUUCACUAAUUGAAAGCAUACAAUGACAAUUAUUAAAAAGUCAAGAAAUGAGAUGAUGAUGAGGUGGCAGAGAAAUAGGAACACAUUGACACUGUUGGUGAAAAUGUAAGAUAGCUUAACCGUUGUGGAAGACAGUGUGGCGAUUUCUUAAGGACCUAGCACCAGAAAUACCAUUUGACCCAGCAAUUCUAUUACUGGGUAUAUACCCAAAGAAAUAUAAACCAUUCUAUUAUAAAGAUACAUGUAUGCAUAUCUUCACUGCAGCAUUAUUCGCAAUAGCAAACACAGGGAAUCAACCCAAAUAACCAUCAGUGAUAGACUGGAUAAAGAAAAUGUGGGACAUAUGGACCACUGAAUACUAUGCAGCCAUAAAAAAGAAAAAACGAGAUCAUGUCCUCUGCAGGACAUGGAUGGACUUGGAAGCCAUUAUUUUCAGCAAACUAAGACAGGAGCAGAAAACCAAACAUCACUUGUUCUCACUUAAAAGUGGAAGCAAUAAUGAGAACACAUGGACAUACAGAGGGACACUGGGCAAUUCAUUGUCUUCAGAACACAUCUGGCCCUGUCAUGGCUAUGUGGAAGCUUGGCUCAGUACAACUCUUCUACUCUACAGAGUUAAAACUACAGUUGGGAGUUGCCUUAACAAUCCUUCUGAGGCUUACAAAAGAGAAAUAGCAGAAGCAGAGAAAGAAUAAUUCUGAAAAAGUAUGAUUGCCAGAGGCUCAAAAAACUUUGGACUUGAUUAAUCUUUCUUGCCAUUAAUUUUGUAACUUGUACACAUCUGUUUCUCCUGUUGAACCUGAACACUUUGAAGGAAGGGAUUUUGAAUAAUUUUUAUCUUCUACAAUGCCAAAUAUGUAGAGGCUCUGAUAAAUAGAAGUGCUCAAUUGUUUGAAAAAGAGGCUGAAAGUUAAAGUUCUAUAAUAAAUUCCUGAAAUUAUCUUUUUUGUGUUUUUUUUCUUUAAGAAAAUCUCCUUUUCUCUUAAAAGUAGAACACUGGAAAAAAAUU